RNAcentral lists this ribosomal RNA (301 nucleotides) under uncultured bacterium. Its description in RNAcentral is "partial 16S ribosomal RNA". It matches the Rfam family "Bacterial small subunit ribosomal RNA", at positions 509 to 809 of the family's 1533-position model. The record is from RNAcentral.
CAGUCGCCGCGGGAAUACAGAGGGUGCAAGCGUUGUUCGGAAUCAUUGGGCGUAAAGGGCGCGUAGGCGGCUAGGUAAGUUAGAUGUGAAAGCCCAGGGCUCAACCUUGGAAGUGCAUCUAAAACUACCUAACUAGAGUCUCGGAGAGGGUGGUAGAAUUCCCAGUGUAGAGGUGAAAUUCGUAGAUAUUGGGAGGAAUACCGGUGGCGAAGGCGACCGCCUGGACGAAGACUGACGCUGAGGCGCGAGAGCGUGGGGAGCAAACAGGAUUAGAUACCCGCGUAGUCCCUGUCUCUUAUAA